GCUACUCCUACGGGAGGCAGCAGUGGGGAAUAUUGCACAAUGGGCGCAAGCCUGAUGCAGCGACGCCGCGUGAGGGAUGGAGGCCUUCGGGUUGUAACCUCUUUUGUUAGGGAGCAAGGCACUUUGUGUUGAGUGUACCUUUCGAAUAAGCACCGGCUAACUACGUGCCAGCAGCCGCGGUAAUGCAG
RNAcentral lists this ribosomal RNA (188 nucleotides) under uncultured Bifidobacterium sp. RNAcentral describes it as "partial 16S ribosomal RNA". It matches the Rfam family "Bacterial small subunit ribosomal RNA", at positions 332 to 528 of the family's 1533-position model. The record is from RNAcentral. Lineage: Bacteria; Bacillati; Actinomycetota; Actinomycetes; Bifidobacteriales; Bifidobacteriaceae.